UUUCCGUAGGUGAACCUGCGGAAGGAUCAUUAAAAAAUGUGGUACCAUUUGUUGGUACUAAUUAAUCAUCCUACCCUUUGUGAAUUUGUUUGUAACGAAUUUUUUUAAAUGGGUCUUUCCCUAAGUUGGAUUGUAGUAAAAAUACAAAAAGACUUAGGGGAAUGACUUUUUUAAAAGACUUUUUUUUUAAAUUAAAACUUUUUGUAUUCAUUUGUCUAAAAUUUAUUUUUAUAAUAUAAAAACAACUUUUGACAAUGGAUCUCUUGGUUCUCGCAACGAUGAAGAACGCAGCAAAAUGCGAUAAGUAGUGUGAAUUGCAGAACACGUGAAUCAUCGAAUCUUCGAACGCAUAUUGCACUUUUUUAGUUUACUAAAAAGUAUGUCUGUUUGAGUAUCAGUAAAAUAUUCUCACAAAAACAAUUUGUUUUUUGUGGUUAUGAGUGUUUUACAACGAUAAACAAGUUGUUUCACUUUAAAUUCUUUUUAAUUGAAUUUUACCAAUUCAUAAAUUAAAAUUGGAUAAAAUUUUCCUUUAACGAGGAAUAACCUAAACAAUUUUAAAUUUUAUGGAUUAAUAAACAUUCAUCAAAGGAAUCUAUACAACAAAUAACUUGAUCUCAAAUCAGAUAAGAGUACCCGCUGAACUUAAGCAUAUCAAUAAGCGGAGGAAAAGAAACUAACAAGGAUUCCCUUAGUAACGGCGAGUGAAGCGGGAAGAGCUCAAAUUUGAAAUCUUCAAGGUUUGACCUUGACGAAUUGUAGUUUAUAGAAGUGUUUUCUGUUGGAGUUUUGGUAAAAGUUCUUUGGAAUAGGACAUCAUAGAGGGUGGGAAUCCCGUAUUUGACCAUGACUUUCCAGCUGUGUGCUACACUUUCAAAGAGUCGGAUUGUUUGGGAAUGCAGUCCAAAAUGGGUGGUAAAUUUCAUCCAAAGCUAAAUAUUGGCGAGAGACCGAUAGCGAACAAGUACCGUGAGGGAAAGAUGAAAAGAACUUUGAAAAGAGAGUUAAACAGUACGUGAAAUUGUCAAAAGGGAAGCGUUUGACACCAGUGUUGUUUUCUCGAGAAUCAAUUUAAUGAGUUCUUGUUUUUAAGUUAUUGUGACUUUAUCGGCGCAUUUCUUAUUUUACCUGGCUCAUUGAAUGCACUUUUCGUUUAACAAGUCAACAUCAAUUUCUUUGGUGGUAAAAAGUUUAAAGGAGGUGGCUUGGACUUCGGUUCAAGUGUUUAUAGCCUUUUUUCUAUGCCAUCGGAGAGAUAGAGGUCUGCAGCGUAGAUCCUUCGGGGUUAGAUACUUUAGUGCUAAGUUAUAGUUUUUUAUAGACAACUUGUUGACUAUAAUUAACCCUGUAAUUUACUCGCUUAGGCUAUUUUACCUACGCUUAGGAUGUUG
RNAcentral lists this unclassified non-coding RNA (1391 nucleotides) under uncultured Neocallimastigales. RNAcentral's name for it is "partial contains small subunit ribosomal RNA, internal transcribed spacer 1, 5.8S ribosomal RNA, internal transcribed spacer 2, and large subunit ribosomal RNA". The stretch from base 613 to 1391 matches the Rfam family "Eukaryotic large subunit ribosomal RNA", at positions 1 to 628 of the family's 3401-position model. The record is from RNAcentral. Lineage: Eukaryota; Fungi; Neocallimastigomycota; Neocallimastigomycetes; Neocallimastigales.